GAUGAACGCUGGCGGCGUGCUUAACACAUGCAAGUCGAACGAAGCACUUUACUUGAUUUCUUCGGAAUGAUUGUUCUGUGACUGAGUGGCGGACGGGUGAGUAACGCGUGGGUAACCUACCUCGUACAGGGGGAUAACAGUUGGAAACGACUGCUAAUACCGCAUAAGCGCACAGAGUUGCAUGACUCAGUGUGAAAAACUCAGGUGGUAUGAGAUGGACCCGCGUCUGAUUAGCUAGUUGGUGGGGCAACGGCCUACCAAGGCGACGAUCAGUAGCCGACCUGAGAGGGUGACCGGCCACAUUGGGACUGAGACACGGCCCAAACUCCUACGGGAGGCAGCAGUGGGGAAUAUUGCACAAUGGGGGAGACCCUGAUGCAGCGACGCCGCGUGAGCGAUGAAGUAUUUCGGUAUGUAAAGCUCUAUCAGCAGGGAAGAAAAAAUGACGGUACCUGACUAAGAAGCACCGGCUAAAUACGUGCCAGCAGCCGCGGUAA
This 497-nucleotide ribosomal RNA is filed under the name uncultured bacterium. Its description in RNAcentral is "partial 16S ribosomal RNA". It matches the Rfam family "Bacterial small subunit ribosomal RNA", at positions 28 to 523 of the family's 1533-position model. The record is from RNAcentral.